RNAcentral lists this ribosomal RNA (372 nucleotides) under uncultured organism. RNAcentral's name for it is "bacterial SSU rRNA". It matches the Rfam family "Bacterial small subunit ribosomal RNA", at positions 526 to 896 of the family's 1533-position model. The record is from RNAcentral.
CGGAGGGUGCAAGCGUUAAUCGGAAUUACUGGGCGUAAAGCGCACGCAGGUGGCUAAGUCAGUCGAUUGUGGAAGCCCUGGGCUUAACCUGGGAAUUGCAGUCGAUACUACUUAGCUAGAGUAUGGGAGAGGGCAGUGGAAUUCCCGGUGUAGCGGUGAAAUGCGUAGAUAUCGGGAGGAACAUCAGUGGCGAAGGCGGCUGCCUGGCCCAAUACUGACACUCAGGUGCGACAGCGUGGGGAGCAAGCAGGAUUAGAUACCCUGGUAGUCCACGCCGUAAACGAUGAGAACUAGAUGUCGGGAGGGAUUAGCCUCUCGGUGUCGUAGCUAACGCGCUAAGUUCUCCGCCUGGGGAGUACGGCCGCAAGGUUG